CCGCCUUCGCAUGUCUUCGGCACCUCCGCCAGAACCUCUUCGGCCCCAUGAUUUCAGGGAGUAUGGACCAUGUAUGGACAGAUGUGAUCCUUAACUGUCGUUGUUCUUGGCGUGUUGCUGCCAUUUUACUGGGUAGAAUCUAUGCACGGCCGAGACCUCAGUCUAUCCACUGUACGAGUGUUUAAUGAAUUUACUCUUCUCCAUGGCGCGUCCAUGAGGGCAGAAAUUUCAUGCUUCAAAUCUGCUUGGCGAGAACCUUUUCAGGCCUGGAGAUGUCCUUGUGAACUGGUCAGUGAUUUUCGGAAAGUGGAGCUGCAUUCAAGGUUUGAGAUAUAGUUUAUGUCGACUGGAUGAGUUGUUUGAUCUCUUUGCCCUGUUCUUCGAGAUGGGUUGCGAUGAAAACUCUUGGGGCCAUGAGCAACACUUGAGGCUCCUCUUCAUAAGCACAAAAGCUGCAGCAAGUAGAAAUUGGAGAGUUGAAGAGCUUUGUACAGAACCAGAGAUUAGGAGGAAUGGAAAUAUAAGAAACAAUUCAGGAAGAUUCCCUAGGGAAGCAAAAAUUGUUUCCUGGUCUGUGUAGGUCCAUUUAGGAAAUUAGAUGACUGUUGUAAUAUGAAUUUUACAUCCGUUCCAAGAAAAAGUGAUGUUUCUAUUUACAUCCAUUUUGGUGUGAUAAAUAUUGGUUCUGAAC
Non-coding RNA from Aegilops tauschii subsp. strangulata, 691 nucleotides. The record is from RefSeq and is a predicted model, not a curated record. Lineage: Eukaryota; Viridiplantae; Streptophyta; Magnoliopsida; Poales; Poaceae.